UCGAACGCGAAAGCCCCGCAAGGGAUGAGUAGAGUGGCAAACGGGUGAGUAACGCGUGGGUGACCUGCCUUCGAGCGGGGGAUAACGUUCCGAAAGGGACGCUAAUACCGCAUGACAUCCUAUCUUUUAAGAGAUGGUGAUCAAAGCUGGGGAUCGCAAGACCUAGCACUCGAAGAGGGGCCCGCGUCCGAUUAGCUAGUUGGUGAGGUAACGGCUCACCAAGGCGACGAUCGGUAGCCGGCCUGAGAGGGCGGACGGCCACACUGGGACUGAGACACGACCCAGACUCCUACGGGAGGCAGCAGUGGGGAAUUGUUCGCAAUGGGCGCAAACCUGACGACGCAACGCCGCAUGGAGAAUGAAGAUCUUCGGGUCGUAAACUCCUUUCGAUCGAGACGAAUUCCUUUCGGGUGAACAAUCCGGAAGGUUGACGGUACCGAGAGAAGAAGCCCCGGCUAACUCCAUGCCAGCAGCCGCGGUAAUACGGGGGGGGCAAGCGUUGUUCGGAAUUACUGGGCGUAAAGGGCUCGUAGACGGCCAACUAAGUCAGACGUGAAAUCCCUCGGCUUAACCGGGGAACUGCAUCUGAUACUGGAUGGCUUGAGUUUGGGAGAGGGAUGCGGAAUUCCAGAUGUAGCGGUGAAAUGCGUAGAUAUCUGGGGGA
RNAcentral lists this ribosomal RNA (664 nucleotides) under uncultured bacterium. RNAcentral's name for it is "bacterial SSU rRNA". It matches the Rfam family "Bacterial small subunit ribosomal RNA", at positions 62 to 705 of the family's 1533-position model. The record is from RNAcentral.